This 116-nucleotide ribosomal RNA is filed under the name Chinchilla lanigera (long-tailed chinchilla). Lineage: Eukaryota; Metazoa; Chordata; Mammalia; Rodentia; Chinchillidae. The record is from RNAcentral.
UCUGUGGCCACACCACCCUGACCGCGCCCGAUCUCGGCUGAUCUCGGGAACUACGCAGGGUCAGGCCCGUAGUGCUUGGAUGGGAGAAACCUAUGUGCGUGCUUGUAUUUCAAGAG